GACAGAGGGUGCAAGCGUUGUUCGGAAUCAUUGGGCGUAAAGGGCGCGCAGGCGGUCGUUCAAGUCGCGUGUGAAAGCCCCCGGCUCAACUGGGGAGGGUCACGCGAUACUGAUCGACUCGAAGGCAGGAGAGGGUAGUGGAAUUCCCGGUGUAGUGGUGAAAUGCGUAGAUAUCUGGAGGAACACCGGUGGCGAAGGCGGCAUCCUGGACCGGCAUUGACGCUGAUGAGCGAAAGCCAGGGGAGCAAACGGG
RNAcentral lists this ribosomal RNA (253 nucleotides) under uncultured bacterium. RNAcentral describes it as "partial 16S ribosomal RNA". It matches the Rfam family "Bacterial small subunit ribosomal RNA", at positions 524 to 776 of the family's 1533-position model. The record is from RNAcentral.